RNAcentral lists this ribosomal RNA (622 nucleotides) under Pleostigma frigidum. RNAcentral's name for it is "SSU rRNA". It matches the Rfam family "Bacterial small subunit ribosomal RNA", at positions 488 to 1197 of the family's 1533-position model. The record is from RNAcentral. Lineage: Eukaryota; Fungi; Ascomycota; Eurotiomycetes; Pleostigmataceae.
GUCUUGACCAAAUUACGUGCCAGCAGUCGCGGUAACACGUAGAAGACUAGUGUUAUUCAUCUUUAUUAGGUUUAAAGGGUACCUAGACGGAAAAUCAAGCCAUAAUAGGGACUAAUUUUCUAGAGUUUUAUGAGAGAAGGGGUGAAUUUCCGGAGGAAAGUUGAUAUUUAGUGAUACUGGAAGGACGGGUAACGGCGAAGGCAACCUUGUAUGUAAAAACUGACGUUGAGGGACGAAGCCUUGGGUAACGAGAAGGAUUAGAUACCCUAGUAGUCCUUGGAGACAAUUAUGAAUGUCAUAGGCUAGAUAAUUUAGCCUAUAAAUGAAAGUGUAAGCAUUCCACCUCAUGAGUAAAGCGGCAACGCCCAAAUUGAAAUCAUUAGACCGUUUCUGAAACCAGUAGUGAAGUAUGUUAUUUAAUUCGAUGAUCCGCGAAUAACCUUACCACAAUAUGCAUUGAAUAUUAUUCAAUUAUUACAAGCGCUGCACGGCUGUCUUCAGUUAAUGUCGUGAGAUUUUGGUUCGUUCCUUUAAUUAACGAAAACCCUUGCUUUAUUUGUUUUUAUAAAGUAGUUCACCGUGAUAUUGGAUGAGAUAAUAGGGACUAAGACAAGUCAUCAUG